Molecule: long non-coding RNA, 2977 nt
Organism: Drosophila yakuba
Lineage: Eukaryota; Metazoa; Arthropoda; Insecta; Diptera; Drosophilidae
Exons: 3
Source: RefSeq, a predicted model, not a curated record
AUGUGUGUUGCUGUUGACAAAGCAUUUUCGAAACUGAUUUUGCCCCGACAUGAUGCACUGCCGCAUUUGUCGCAGCCCAAGCAACAAAACUGCAGCCAGAAAAAACUCAUUAUGAGAGUCGUCGACACACUAGGCGCCAAGCCACAAUAGGGCUGGAAUGGUGAAUGUGGUGGCUUGGAAGCUUGGCGUUUGGGGAACGGAAAUCCAGAAACCGGGCUUGGGCAGCAAACGUUAAUAAUUAGCAACCCUAUUAAUGCGAAUCGCGAGCACCACCCCCAGCUUAUUUGUCACCGCCCAGUGGGUGUCGAUUGAGUUUUGUGUGCUUCUCUCUUCGGGCGUUUUAAUUUAUUCGAUUAUUUUGAUGUUUGCGCAUCGUUAUCAACAUAAUCAGCGACUACAGCCUACGUGGACUGCAGCUGCAGCAGCAGCAGCAGUGCAUUAAUGCAUUCCAUCCCCAAUCCCCUUUUUUGCCCGCACCCUGUCCCCAGCCCCAGUGGGCCGGACAAUUGUCCGGUGGAUUUCGGGAUGCCGAUCUCAUACCACGUCUUCGUCUGCCAUUUCAUUCGCUGCUCUGUUUUUUAUUUAUUUUUAGGUGCGUUUGCACACAAAAAGUGGAUUCUUUUUCACUCGGCGCCAAUCAUUCACAGUUUGAACUGGAUCUGAACUUAGCUCAUCGCUGGAGAUCAUUUUUUCCACUGGCUAAACCGAGCCAUACUGAUCAUUGAUCUCCGAUGGACAUGUUCUAGUUAUCAUUCUACUCAUAGGGUUGUAAGAUUUAUCCAUACACAGAUUAAUCUAGCGAAGUUUUUUCACAAAGUACUAUUUUGGAGCUGCUGUAAUAUAUAAUUGUAUAAGAAAAGUCAAGAACAGUUAAAACUUAAUUUUAGCGUGGCUGUAUUUUGCCAAUAAAUGGCAUAUUUUUAAGGGACUUAUCCCUGCAACCCGACCAAUCUUCCAUAAAAAAGAUAUUAUAAUAAAAUUUUAUAUUUUUAUAUAAUUUUUUUUAUAUUUUUUCAGCUGCAGUCACGCAGCCCCGCCUACCAACCAAAAUGGAACCACAAGAGGGCGGGACAUCUGCAGCCGCCCAUCAGCAGCAACGCAUUAUAUUCGCGCUCGUUGUUUUCUGCCGUAUACAGCACUUUUAUUUCGAAUUUUUUCCAUUUUAUGCUAUUUUAUUGUCAUGCUGCGUAGCCCAAACCAGUACGGCCCACUCCACAGACUCCCGUGAGUACGACUCCCAUAUAUGGCUUGUAAAUGAGCUGCGUCUGUGUAAGUGCGUGUGCUAUGUACUCGGUUAAAAAUUGGAUAUUAGUAAAAAGCUCAUCGGAGGACUUUAGCCCUCGGUCUACCCGAAAUCUAGUAGUACAUAAAUCGGGAGUACUUAUGUAUGUAUUGCGAUGCAUGCCUACACAAUUGAAUGUGGCCGGGCUGAUUGAUCGGUGAUGGGGAAAAUUAUAAUUAGUUUUUGCUGUUUUGCCAUUCCCAGUCACUUUGUUUUGCAAUAUAUGAUUAACGAGUUAUCCAAUCAUUGCAGCUAAAAUAAUCCACAAUUGUAUUUGCAGUGUAGAGUCCUCGGGGUCCCGCAUUAAGGACUAACAAAUUCCGCUUAUUGACUAAUUGCAAAUACGAAACUGGCUGAUUGGCUGCAUUUGAGCAUCGGUUGGUUAGCGGUUCUGAAUGGAAUCCAUUCCGUAUUUAAUAGCAUAAAGCAAAGAAUGCAGAGCCAUAAGUUGGGGCCUGCUUGGUACUGAGAGUACAGUAGUACAGCGCUGACAACCAUGUUGUUAGUGAUUUAUUUUGACUAUUUUUCUGUACAUUUUCUAUUUUUCAAACAAGCGGUUCUCGAAAGCGAACUCUAAGGCAAGUAUUUUUGAAAGUUAUAUCUAUAAACAUAUAAGGGAAUAAAUUUGUGUUCCUCUGAAGAUCACCUUCCAUAGCUCCUUAAAAAGGGAGCGUUCGAGCUAUGCAUAAUAGUCACUGGGAUCUCCACACACAAGUGUCAGGAUGGCCGAGUGGUCUAAGGCGCUGCGUUCAGGUCGCAGUCUACUCUGUAGGCGUGGGUUCGAAUCCCACUUCUGACAAGAACUUUUUGGCAUUGCGUGUUUUUAUUUUUUCAUGGUUAAUGUAUUUUCAACGAAAUAAUGCAAUAAAAAUACAUUUUACGCCGUUAUAUGCUGCCCUUUAUAUACACGCAUUUUGCCAGCACAGCAAAAAAGAGCCCACAGACCGAAUUGAUUUUCCAAAUGUUUUUAUUAAACAAACCAAUUUCAUCCCUUACAAAAACCCGGCAAGCUUCACAUAUGUGUUUUUCGAGCCUUCGUUUUUUAAUGAUGCGAAUUCGAUGUACGAAAUUUUCAUUAAUACUCCGUCCGAGCACCUUCGCUGGACGGCAUGGAGAAGUGGCUGGGCGAGUGCGACAGCGAUAGCGAAAGCUGUAGGCUUAAAUGCGUCAUGUACAGGUCAGGCAGCGCCCGAGUGAAAGGGAUGGCCGAGGACAUGGUGGAGCAUAUGCAAGGACUUGUACAUAGAACGGUUCGUGCACCCAGCUAUAUCGUAUAUAGACUCCAGUGUUUAUUCAAUGCUGUUUACGGCCACCGACGGACCCACACCCACAUCCACAUCCACACCCGCAUCCUCAGCAGAACCUGACCGACCUUUUCGCCAGCACCUAUUGCCACUCCCAGCACUGCAGCUGCAGCCUGGCAGCGAAACCAAUUGGCUGCAAUCGCACUGCACCUCGAUGAGCAGUGCCUGAUAGCUAAUGGAUAAUAUGACCCCGUAAUUGGAUUAUCGUUGAGCCGUACGUCUUCUCGUGUAAACGUCGAGAUCUCCGUAAGUAAUAAAUCUAGGAGCUUGAGAGUUAACUAGUAGACUUAAAAUAAAAUAAAAAUGUACUAUGUGUGCUUGUUCAAAAGGUAUUCGCAUUGAAUAUUUUUAUGUCGGGUAUAAAUAAAUUUGUUUCCGACCAUAUAGUACA